RNAcentral lists this long non-coding RNA (2170 nucleotides) under Homo sapiens (human). RNAcentral describes it as "non-protein coding lnc-SLC1A1-1:2". Lineage: Eukaryota; Metazoa; Chordata; Mammalia; Primates; Hominidae. The record is from RNAcentral.
UGCGAGCAAAGUUCCUAUGGCAUCCACUUACCAGGGCAGGAAACCCUACUUCCACCAGACAUGUAUUUGUUUAUUCACUCAGGCAGGUGGUAUGUUGGAAGAAGAGUGGACUUUGGAAUCAGAAAACCUGGAAUCCCAACUUCACCGCUAACCGAGAGACCUUGAGCUGGUUCCUAAACCACGGGGAACUUCAGUUCCACUACAUGAGUUAUUGCAAAGGUUGAAUCGGAAUUGUGACACUGGCCAGCACACGUGUGAAACCAGGGGCAUCCCCUAUUGAUAAGGAGCCCAGCCCAAGAGCUUCAAGGGAAAUUGACCCCAGCCCCAGCUCCACUGAUGGGCUCGAUGAUUCAGAGAGGAAUCUCACUCCCUUGGUCAAAGUGAAUGGCUCAUAAAUCUGGGCCUAAGUCAAUCCGUGCAAGACAUUCCCCUGGCCAUAGGGAUUGGUUAAAAAAUGGACAUGUAACCCAGUUUGGGCUAAAUGAGAUGUGAACAGGAAAGUUAUUUGAUAGCUUCUGAGGAAGGUAGCUUCUCUUCUUUCUAGAGAGCCACUGGAAAGGUAGCCUUUUCUCCUCUGUGUUGUGGAGAGAAAAAAAAAGUGAAACUGUCUCCCUCUCAGCCCACACAGAAGGCUCACACUUGGUGAAGGGAAGGGUGGAGAAGAUUACAGAGAAUAGCCCUGAUGGAACCACACCUGAUUUCUACCUGACCUCUUAAUUUUUUCAUUUGUACAAGUCAGUAAAUGCCUUUUAAUUUUUAAACAAAUAAUUACAGCAACUUAUAGAGGUACCUAAGGUAUUAAGUUACCAUCAUGAAUACAAAGAUAAGCAAGACAAACUUCAAGGGGCUCACCACCUAAUAAAUAUUAUACUUUGCUUUUAUGACAUCAUUUUAGUCUUUUUUGUUGUUUUUUGUUUUUGUUUCUAAAUAGGAUCUUGCUUUAUCACCCAAACUGUAAUGCAGUGGUGUGAUCAUAGCUCACUACAGCCCCGACCUCCUGGGCUCAAGUGAUCCUCUUGCCUCAGCCUCCUAAGGAGCUGGGACUACAGGUGCGUGCCCAGCUAAUUUCUUUUAUUUUUGUAGAGGCAGGGGGGUCUCGCUAUGUUGCCCAGGCUGUGGGUUUUUCAGGGUAAAGUUAUGGCUCAUUCUCUCUUCAGGACCCUGCUACCAUUUGGUCAAUUUAAUAUUAUGCAAGAGAAAUUCCAUUUCCCUAGUAGUUACACAAUGCCCGCUUUCAGACCAGCUAGUCAACCCUGUGAGGGUCAGAUAGAGUAGUUUAUCCAUUUGGUUGUCAGACAACUGCCUCGAACAGCCAGGCCAUUUCUACAUGUUCUCAGUUACUGGUUAACAAAUGUUGCCCCAGAAUUCAGCACCUAAUAGGAAAUACAUUCAUUUCCAAAUUCCUACUGAAAUAGGAUUUUUCUCAUUCCUAGAUAAAACAGAGGCACCCAGAUUUUCCUGGAAUGGCAUUCAGAAAUAGAGAAGGAAUCAUAGAGAAAUGUCUGCCCAGGCAUCUCUGAGUCUCAUGCCUUUUUGCUGUUGCUGCUGUUAUGACUCCUACCUUGGAAAGUUUCAGUCAUCCUUGAACAUCCUCCCCACCCCCAUGCUUUCCUGUCUUCUGUUUCAUAACUAAAUGCCAUUUAAAACUCUAGCUAUAGAUACCCCUUGCUGAUAUAAGCAACAGAAGUAGAGAGUCCUUAGAUUCUAGACUGAAUUUAGGGCCCAACAGUUAGACAAUUGGAACUUGAUAAUAACGUUAUCUCAGCAGAUUGCGUAAGUCAGAAAUGUUCUCCCUGUCACUGCUUUCUUUUUCCUUCCAGCAAGAAGUGGACAUUAAGGAGAAAGUGAAGGUGGCAAGUUAUGAGUGAUCUGUUUAAGACACAGUUUAGUUAUGGCAAUGAUAACAACUCACAUUUAUUAGGGGCUUAUUAUGUAUCAGGCUGAGCAAAGUACGUAAGAUUCUUGAUCUCAUUUAAUUCUCACAGUGUAGAGGCUAAUGAGUGGUGGAGGUGAGAGGAGGACGCAGCCUCCCUUGGCUCCAGGGCACACACUCUUAGCUGUAACACUCUAUUGCCUCCAUAAAGUAUGCUUAAUUGUAAUACAUGUUGAUGAGAUAUGUGAUAAACAUAAUUUAUGUAAAAUUUAAGAACAAGAUCUAUUGUAUAAAUUA